CACACCCCGGGCUGGGGCUGGGGAGGCCACCAGCACCACUCUACCUGCCUUCCACUCACCUUUCUAAGGAUGUUGUCGGGAUUAACUGAAUGGGGCAUAUUAAGCUCCUGUUUCCUGAGAGAGAUGGCGAGUGAGUAAAGGAUAUUAUUCCAUCAACGGCCGGCUUUAAUAGCAUCCCCCGCAACUGGCAUGACAGGAAUGCACCAUCUCACUCGCAUCCUGACUGCAAGGAGGCUAAUUCAAUUAAGCCAGAAUCUCAUCCUGAGAAGCAUCUCUAGUGGCAGAGACAAUAUGUAACCAUCCCAGAUCCAUGGCCUGGAUAAUAAAAACGUCAGAGAGACAAUAUGGGCAUCCACCCACUCUGAGCCACUGUCAUGCCCUAGGGACCCAUUCAGCCCCUCCGUGGCAGACAGAUGAGUCCAGCUACACAAAUAUUUAUAAAGAAGAUAUGAGCAUGGCACUAGGGAGCACCCAGAGAGCCUCCUGAACGGCUGAAAUGUUGACACCUGAGCUAGCCCCAUCACACACAACUAUGCAAAGCAGCAGCAUCAUUUCAUCCACUGUUGGAAAAUUCUGCUCCACUUUGGAAAAUUUACAGAAGAAAACAGAAGGGAAAAGGCUUGUAGUGAUACACAGCAUAUUAAGUAUCACCAUGGAAAUCACACUGAAAGUUCAAAUACAACUUUUAUUAAACUUCUUGAACUUUCUUACAUGGCACUUUCCCCCAAAGGCCUCAGGAGUGCCUUCUUUAUACACUUUGAAAUCAAAGAGAUGCUUUGAGGGCAAAGGAAAAAUCACCUUUAGUGGAACGUUUUACGGUUGGUGCUGUUCAGAGCGUCUCGGGGUUGAAAUUCUCAAGACUCCAUUUGUUACCAACGAUUUAAUGAGCUGCUCAUUGUAUCAGCCAUGAAUGAUCAGCAAACAACUAUGCCGGCUCAUUUAUCUCCUCUAGUUUAAUUUGAGUCCUUAAAAUAAAUGUUCAUGUCUGCAAUAAAGGGCCUGAUAUGAUUCUUUUGUCUGGAGAUUGUAAAACAAGUGUGCCAACUAUCGCCGCCUUUAGUAGGUUUCAAGGUCGUCUGCUUUGCCAAGGUCUCUUAAAAACAAGUGCUGCUUUCCCUUGAAACCACUAAAAUGUCAGUCCCAUGAGGGCAGGCGCUGUCAUUUGUUCAGUGCUAAUCCCAAAUACCUAGCACUGUUCCUGGCCCUUACUAACCAAACAAUUAAGAUUAGUAUAAUUAUUGGGUGAGUGAAUUUUCCAUCGUGGCCAUUAUACAUGUAGGUGGAGGUAUAUAUCGCCCACAUUCAUAAAUAUCUGUGUUCAGACAGUACACACAAACAUGUGAGUGGAUGCGGCUGCCCCCUGGGAGAACAUGCUAUGUGACCCAUGAUACAUGGCUGCUUGCUGUUGGACCAGCAGACCACCCUUCCACUCCAUCCUGCUCAAGGGCACCAGCGCUGUCCGUCCCUCACUGCCACCAGGAGGCGGGUGAGGUUUAACCAACAUCAGACUAUAAAACUUGGCUCUGCCAGGGGGCCCUUCUGUCAUCAGAAAACAAUACACUAGUUGACAUGGGGCUCCUAAUAAACAAUUAAUAACAGGAGAAGCACUCUGCAAAGUGGAAUUCUUAAAGGGACAGAGGCAACUUUCAGCUGAAAGAAAGGUUUAACUUAGCUAAUCUGCAUGAACAUCAGUGCCUCUGCAGCAUCCAGAAAUAUGUUCUCGAAAGGUCAUGUGCAUAAGCAUUCACUGUGAAGAAUAAAAACAGUUGUUCUGAGUUUCUUGACAAAUAAGAAUAACUGCUCUAUAAUAAGAGCAACUGCUGGUAGGCAUGUGUAGCCAAACAAGCAGGGCUUUGUGCACCUGGCCUUCCCCACCCAAGGACUGCAGCAGGGUCUGGGAUCGGGGAGGAAGGCCAAGGAGGCCAGAGCUGGCAGGAGACUGAGACUUCGGACCCAGGAACUGGGGCCCCAGCCUCACCUUCCCUCUCCCACAGUUGAGGCCAUGGACAAGAACUCAACCCCUGUGCGUCUCAGCUUCGUUGUGGUUAACUGGGAGGGCUAGUCUAAUUUGGGGGAUUCUACAAAACAAACAUGACAAACAAACAAUAUGCAUUGUGAAUGUGUGUGUGCAUGCCUGUGUGCUAAGUCGCUUCAGUCAUGUCCGACUCUUUGCGACC
This is a long non-coding RNA of Odocoileus virginianus texanus, 2177 nucleotides long. RefSeq lists it as uncharacterized. The record is from RefSeq and is a predicted model, not a curated record. NCBI's taxonomy places the organism in Eukaryota, Metazoa, Chordata, Mammalia, Artiodactyla, Cervidae.